GGGCGGGUAGCGUAGUGGUCAGCGCAUUCCCUGAGCGUUUCUCUUUCCUAAGCGGAUCUCAGCGUUGAUUUCUAAUUAUAGUAUAAGCGUUUAUUGAAAGGCCUGGGUUCGAACCCCAGCCCGCCCA
Molecule: transfer RNA, 127 nt
Filed under: Echria macrotheca
Lineage: Eukaryota; Fungi; Ascomycota; Sordariomycetes; Sordariales; Schizotheciaceae
Description: tRNA-OTHER
Rfam family: tRNA
About the family: Transfer RNA (tRNA) molecules are approximately 80 nucleotides in length.
Source: RNAcentral